CCGGUAGUAAAAUGGUUGUCAAAUGAGUUAACAGGACUUAGGUUCAGCUUUCUUAAUGGCUUUUUGCGCCAAUGAGGGAAUAAAACUAUGUUUUAUUUUUAAAAACAGAAGCGCACAAUUGAUUUUCAAGGAGUUAAACGAACUCCUAUAUAUUUUGUAAUACGAACUUUGCUAAAUAAACUACUGCCCACACUAAUCCCCGCUAACAGUGUUUUUAUGUAAAAA
Molecule: non-coding RNA, 225 nt
Organism: Paramuricea clavata
Lineage: Eukaryota; Metazoa; Cnidaria; Anthozoa; Malacalcyonacea; Plexauridae
Source: the annotation of a GenBank genome assembly